Molecule: ribosomal RNA, 433 nt
Filed under: uncultured bacterium
Lineage: Bacteria
Description: partial 16S ribosomal RNA
Rfam family: Bacterial small subunit ribosomal RNA
Source: RNAcentral
AACGAACGCUGGCGGCAUGCCUAACACAUGCAAGUCGAACGAGACCUUCGGGUCUAGUGGCGCACGGGUGCGUAACGCGUGGGAAUCUGCCCUUGGGUUCGGAAUAACAGUUGGAAACGACUGCUAAUACCGGAUGAUGACGUAAGUCCAAAGAUUUAUCGCCCAAGGAUGAGCCCGCGUAGGAUUAGCUAGUUGGUGAGGUAAAGGCUCACCAAGGCGACGAUCCUUAGCUGGUCUGAGAGGAUGAUCAGCCACACUGGGACUGAGACACGGCCCAGACUCCUACGGGAGGCAGGAGUGGGGAAUAUUGGACAAUGGGCGAAAGCAUGAUCCAGCAAUGCCGCGUGAGUGAUGAAGGCCUUAGGGUUGUAAAGCUCUUUUACCCGGGAUGAUAAUGACAGUACCGGGAGAAUAAGCUCCGGCUAACUCCGUG